RNAcentral lists this long non-coding RNA (487 nucleotides) under Dromaius novaehollandiae (emu). RNAcentral's name for it is "lncRNA (ENSDNVG00000004505.1)". Lineage: Eukaryota; Metazoa; Chordata; Aves; Casuariiformes; Dromaiidae. The record is from RNAcentral.
UCAGCCAUGGUUUUUCAGUUGAGGCUGGACAAAAGACCUCUCGAUACCUUCAUUUCUUCAGAUGCAAAAUAGAGUAAAAUAUUUUCCCUUUUGGCUGAAGGAGGCAGAAGGCGUGGGAGCUUAUAGAAUAUGGCAUGUGUAAAGCUGGUUUAAAUKUUUACAUCAGCUGUGAAUUUUACACAAUGCAUUUCAGCAGACCUGGAGAAAGGACCCAGAAGCCUUUGCCAUCUAUGCAGACCCACUAGGACAAGUCACAGCUCCUCCUGUGCCGAACUGUCCACACAUCAGAAGAGCUAAGGAGAUUUGAAGUAAAAAUGGAAGUAGAAUCAUGGUUGCUCUCUAAGAAAAUAGACCAGACACUGGAAGGGAUUUGCAAGUUGAGAUAGGAUCAUAAAGGUAAUAUUCUUCUAUAGAUGACUGCAGAAUUUUGAACUGGAGGCUUGUUUCAAUAUGAAACAAACUUCCAAAUAAAUACUAUAUUGAAAUA